RNAcentral lists this ribosomal RNA (172 nucleotides) under uncultured bacterium Dw-17. RNAcentral describes it as "partial 16S ribosomal RNA". It matches the Rfam family "Bacterial small subunit ribosomal RNA", at positions 338 to 502 of the family's 1533-position model. The record is from RNAcentral.
CCUACGGGAGGCAGCAGUGGGGAAUAUUGGACAAUGGGGGAAACCCUGAUCCAGCAAUGCCGCGUGUGUGAAGAAGGCCUGCGGGUUGUAAAGCACUUUCGGCAGGGAAGAAAAGUCGUACGUUAAUACCGUACGGCCUUGACGUUACCUGCAAAAGAAGCACCGGCUAACU